CUUUUUUAAGUUUGACAUGUCCCUAAAACAGAGGGUACAACAAAACGUAGUUUAGUCAUAUGGUAAUCUAUAGACUUACAUUGUAGAACAUUCGAGUUCGAUAGACAUGUAUUGAUUUAAUUUAAACAUGAAAGCUACAGGUUUCAUGUGGUGAGUUUUAAAUGAAAACUUCGAGUUUCAAAGGCACUAAAUGUGAAACUACAUAUUCAAUUUAGUUUUAUGAAUGAUUAGUUCAUAAAGGAGAGGUUCCUGCAAUAACACAGAAUGCGAUAUGCUGAUUUUAAGUGUAGUGGAUUUGAAUUGCUUCGGGAACUCAAGUGUGAGAGCUUCAGGACUAUGAAAAAAUAUCAACGGUUCAAAGUAGAAAAAUAAAUUAUUGAAUCGUUAAUGUCCAAAACUAAUAUUCAGGUCAAUACUUUUAGAUUAAUUGUCAGAUUAAUGGACUGCAAAUCACUUUUAAUUAAUUCAAUAGAUCGAGAGCAAACGGGGUCGAUUAUGGAAGCAAAAUAAUGAUAGACAGGUCAUAUUAGCUUUGGUUGGUGGUAAACCAAGUGAUAAUUAUAUUAAAAUUAAUUAGCAUAAACCAAAAUACCCAAAA
RNAcentral lists this long non-coding RNA (598 nucleotides) under Malus domestica (apple). Its description in RNAcentral is "long non-coding RNA (MDOM_LNC015059)". Lineage: Eukaryota; Viridiplantae; Streptophyta; Magnoliopsida; Rosales; Rosaceae. The record is from RNAcentral.